This 185-nucleotide unclassified non-coding RNA is filed under the name uncultured fungus. RNAcentral describes it as "sequence contains ITS1". Lineage: Eukaryota; Fungi. The record is from RNAcentral.
UUAUUUUGUUAUAAACUUUGUGUUACAUUCAUUAACUUGCGUUAAAAAAAAAUAAAGACUGAUCAGACGCCACACCAAGGCAGCGAAUGACGACGGUGCACAGGGUUAAGAGUGGAAGACGGGUUCUCUGUGGAAGAGACACCCAAAAUUCACUAAUGAUCCUUCCGCAGGUUCACCUACGGAAA